Non-coding RNA from Cinara cedri, 259 nucleotides. Lineage: Eukaryota; Metazoa; Arthropoda; Insecta; Hemiptera; Aphididae. The record is from the annotation of a GenBank genome assembly.
AACCAAGUUAACUACAACUUACCCAUUAAAUAUUUCAAAUAAGACUAAAUGAUGAUGUGCAUAAACAAGGAUCUGAAGUUAACCACUGACGAAGUUCCAGACGAACUAAGUAAAACAAAACGAAAAGUAGAUAUUGUGUUAUCAUUUUUAAAUUGAACUUUAUUGUUGAUUAAAACAUUGGUAAAUGCAUGUAGGUAAGUAAAAAAAUAAUAUGUAAGUUAAUUAAAAUAAAUUAAUAGAUAUUGGGUAAAUAUUUUUG